Equus asinus (donkey) is the source of this 887-nucleotide long non-coding RNA. NCBI's taxonomy places the organism in Eukaryota, Metazoa, Chordata, Mammalia, Perissodactyla, Equidae. The record is from Ensembl.
CCUGGACACGGCCCGGCUCGUCGGGGCGGCGCCCGCGUCUGGGAGCCUCGGGAACAGUUCAGUUGUCUACAUUAACACUGCUGAUGUCAGCACUAAGGCAUCCUUGCUCUUUGUACCCAAGGGCUGUGAUGUCAGCCCACCGGGACCUCCCCUGAGCCUGGCGUCUUGGGCUUUGCUGGAGCUUAGGCACACAGGCGGCAUCCACGACUGAUCCCAGCUAUUCGGACUCCAGAGCCCCUCCCCAAAUACACCUCUACAGAGAUGUCAGAACGGCUGCGAUACAAAAAGCUGACAAUACGAAUUGCUGGCAAGGAUGCAGAGUAACACACUCCCGUUCGCUGUUGGGGAGGUAAACGGUGCACCCGUUUGACAGACAGCCUGGCAACUUCUUACAAAGGAAAAUGGAGAAAUUGUGGGACAUCCACACAAUGGAACAAUAUUCAAUGACAGAAAAGAAGAAGCCAUGAAGCCCCACAAAAAUGUGGAUGAGUUUAAACACAUAUUGCUAGCUGAAAGAAGUCAGUCUGAAACUCCCACAGUUCAUUUUUAUGAUAUUCUGGAAAGGUCAUCAGAAACAGGCAAACUGAGAAACUGUCACAGCCCAGAGCGGUCUAGAGGGAGUGAAGCUGAAUGUACUAUGGUGGCCUGGAUGGAAGUCUGGAACAGAAAAACGGCAUUAGCAAAUUGCCUCAGGACCAGUUAGUUGUGCAGCAAAGAUGCUUGCAGAAAAACACCUAGAACCACUAAUAGAGAUUUCAGUACGCCAAGCCCUUCACCUGCACAAAUGCAGGUGACCCGCCAACUCCUGGUGACUCAACUGCCCCAUCUCUGAGGAAUUCGGACAUCCUGUGGUCCGGCCAGUUCAAGCCCAGGUGGGAACCUGCUGG